This 1177-nucleotide long non-coding RNA is filed under the name Monodelphis domestica (gray short-tailed opossum). RNAcentral describes it as "lncRNA (ENSMODG00000048351.1)". Lineage: Eukaryota; Metazoa; Chordata; Mammalia; Didelphimorphia; Didelphidae. The record is from RNAcentral.
GGUUUUUCUUUGUAUUGUCGUCACCAGUGCCAGGUACACAUAAGUGCUUAAUAAAUAAUAUUAACAAAUUAAUUAGUAAAUACAGCCGAUUAACUAGGACCUUUAAGGAUGGGGAGAUCCACCUCCGGGAUCACUCCAUUCCACCUUUAGACUUGCCCACCCAAGAAAAGGAAAGCAACUGGAGGACAGGGCCCGCAUUACGUAGAGAACUGAGGUAGCUGAACAGAAAGGUGGGCUAGGGGUCAGAAAGAUUUGAGGAUUCAGAAGUCAUCUACUUCACCUCUGGGUUUCAGUUUCCCCAUUUUCAAAACAGACAAAAAGAGCACUUCUGCCUCCCAGGAAGGUGGCGAGGCCCACGAAACAAAAUAAGAAAAGCUCUGGUAAGCCGUAACGCGUGGUGGGUUCGCUGCAGCUAUUAUUACCGCCCCAGUAGGGGCUUCCUCUAUUUUUGCUUUGACUUCCGGGCUCGACCCCGGUAGCCCAUUCACGCCCACUGGACUCUUCUUGGAGGCUCCGCUUAGGAACUACCGCGAGUGCUCUACGACCACCCUUUCGGGGACGCCCACCGCUUGCUUCCUGGACCCCUCAACAACCUCCUCACCCCUUAGCUAAGCAACUGCCUACCAGUCCAAGCGCUCCCGCAUCACCACGGCAACCCGAUACUACAGCAACCGUCAAGCACGUCCCGUCGUUCUACUGCACAGGCGCAGAGCCGGUUACGGCUCACGGGACCGCUCACGUGUCUGCGUCACCUGCGGGACCGAGACUUUCUCAGCCCCACCCCCUCGAAGGCAUCUUUCUCGUCGCACGCGCGGUGUUCCACCCUAUGCUCCGCCUUCUUAUCCUAAAGUUCGAGGCUGAGAAUAAUACGCUUGCUCACGUGGGUAAAUCGUCAGCUCGGGAGCGUCGCCGGGGUGGGGCUUUGACUUUGACCCUGAGUCAGCUAUGAAGAAACCGAGGCUGAGAGAUUAAAUGACCCAUCCAGCAAUCAAGUCUUCCUGACCCCAAACCCAAUGCUCCAUCCAUUGUAAGUAACAUCUUGCUGUCAAAGAGUAGAUUAGUUUAGCAAAGCAUCAUCCAGCAAAUAGCUCUAAGAAGAGACCAUAUGUCCAGGGAAGACCACCUGAGAGUAGCUCAUGGGAGCAUUGUGAUACCUAUCACUAGGAGACAUUAGUGG